AUUGAACGCUGGCGGCAUGCCUAACACAUGCAAGUCGAACGAGACCUUCGGGUCUAGUGGCGCACGGGUGCGUAACGCGUGGGAAUCUACCCUUGGGUUCGGAAUAACAGUUAGAAAUGACUGCUAAUACCGGAUGAUGACGUAAGUCCAAAGAUUUAUCGCCCAAGGAUGAGCCCGCGUAAGAUUAGCUUGUUGGUGGGGUAAUGGCCUACCAAGGCGACGAUCUUUAGCUGGUCUGAGAGGAUGAUCAGCCACACUGGGACUGAGACACGGCCCAGACUACUACGGGAGGCAGCAGUGGGGAAUAUUGCACAAUGGGCGAAAGCCUGAUGCAGCAACGCCGCGUGAGGGAUGAAGGCCUUCGGGUUGUAAACCUCUUUUAGUAGGGAAGAAGCGAAAGUGACGGUACCUACAGAAAAAGCACCGGCUAACUACGUGCCAGCCGCCGCCGUAA
This 454-nucleotide ribosomal RNA is filed under the name uncultured bacterium. Its description in RNAcentral is "partial 16S ribosomal RNA". It matches the Rfam family "Bacterial small subunit ribosomal RNA", at positions 30 to 523 of the family's 1533-position model. The record is from RNAcentral.